AAAUUGAAGAGUUUGAUCAUGGCUCAGAUUGAACGCUGGCGGCAGGCCUAACACAUGCAAGUCGAACGGUAACAGGAAACAGCUUGCUGUUUCGCUGACGAGUGGCGGACGGGUGAGUAAUGUCUGGGAAACUGCCCGAUGGAGGGGGAUAACUACUGGAAACGGUAGCUAAUACCGCAUAACGUCGCAAGACCAAAGAGGGGGACCUUCGGGCCUCUUGCUAUCGGAUGUGCCCAGAUGGGAUUAGCUAGUAGGUGGGGUAACGGCUCACCUAGGCGACGAUCCCUAGCUGGUCUGAG
RNAcentral lists this ribosomal RNA (299 nucleotides) under Escherichia coli. RNAcentral describes it as "partial 16S ribosomal RNA". It matches the Rfam family "Bacterial small subunit ribosomal RNA", at positions 1 to 296 of the family's 1533-position model. RNAcentral also lists the same sequence under 1 other name. Lineage: Bacteria; Pseudomonadati; Pseudomonadota; Gammaproteobacteria; Enterobacterales; Enterobacteriaceae. The record is from RNAcentral.